Tricladium varicosporioides is the source of this 124-nucleotide non-coding RNA. NCBI's taxonomy places the organism in Eukaryota, Fungi, Ascomycota, Leotiomycetes, Helotiales, Tricladiaceae. The record is from the annotation of a GenBank genome assembly.
GGACCGCUGGCGCAACGGUAGCGCGUUCGACUCCAGAUCGAAAGGUGUAUGUACAAUUAAUCAACAAUGUGUUGAGAUUUAUCUAAUAUAUUCAACAGUAUCCGUUCAAAUCGGGUGUGGUUCA